Molecule: ribosomal RNA, 253 nt
Filed under: uncultured bacterium
Lineage: Bacteria
Description: partial 16S ribosomal RNA
Rfam family: Bacterial small subunit ribosomal RNA
Source: RNAcentral
UACGUAGGGUGCGAGCGUUAAUCGGAAUUACUGGGCGUAAAGCGUGCGCAGGCGGUUCGUUGUGUCGGCGGUGAAAGCCCCGGGCUUAACCUGGGAAUGGCCGUCGAAACUGGCGAACUGGAGUGUGGCAGAGGGGGGUGGAAUUCCGCGUGUAGCAGUGAAAUGCGUAGAGAUGCGGAGGAACACCGAUGGCGAAGGCAGCCCCCUGGGCAGUGGCUGACGCUGAGGCGCGACAGCGUGGGGAGCAAACAGG